GCCAUCUUCACACUAUUUUGACUACGAAACACUUAAGCUCUCAUUUAGGGACUAAGUGUCCCAAAACUCUCCGAAAGUUAAAACCAAACAUCCAGACAAUUCAAUUUGGCAGAAAUAGACUUGAGGAAAGUGGUUAAUAGGGGAUCAGGGUGUUAAUUGUUAAGACGACCAAUCGGAACGUCACAGAUGUGACUGUGGAUUUGGAAUCAGGGGUGGGUGGUAAUUAUGUGGUAGUGAUUUGGGGGUCGAUUAGGUCACGCCACCGCCGGUGGAGGCUUGGAAAUUUGGGGCAGUGGCUAGGGAUCUUGUUCUUUGAUUCUUAGAGACAGGGAAGGGAGGGG
This 341-nucleotide long non-coding RNA is filed under the name Nicotiana benthamiana. RNAcentral's name for it is "long non-coding RNA (NBEN_LNC023432)". Lineage: Eukaryota; Viridiplantae; Streptophyta; Magnoliopsida; Solanales; Solanaceae. The record is from RNAcentral.